This 72-nucleotide transfer RNA is filed under the name Anolis lionotus. RNAcentral describes it as "tRNA-Asn". The record is from RNAcentral. RNAcentral also lists the same sequence under 1 other name. Lineage: Eukaryota; Metazoa; Chordata; Lepidosauria; Squamata; Anolidae.
CUAAGUAGGCGGGCCUUGAUCCCGCAAAAAUUAGUUAACAGCUAAUUACCCUAACCAGCGGGCUUCUACUCG